Octopus sinensis (East Asian common octopus) is the source of this 181-nucleotide long non-coding RNA. RefSeq lists it as uncharacterized. Lineage: Eukaryota; Metazoa; Mollusca; Cephalopoda; Octopoda; Octopodidae. The transcript has 3 exons. The record is from RefSeq and is a predicted model, not a curated record.
UAUUCAGAACACAGAAUAACAUGUAACAAAAGCAUGUUUAAAUGUUUGAAGGUGGCGAGGUGGCAAAAACGUUAGCACAACGGGCGAAAUGCUUAGCGGUAUUUCGUCUGCCGUUACGUUCUGAGUUCAAAUUCCGCCGAGGUCAACUUUGCCUUUCAUCCUUUCGGGGUCGAUAAAUUAA